RNAcentral lists this ribosomal RNA (450 nucleotides) under uncultured bacterium. RNAcentral's name for it is "bacterial SSU rRNA". It matches the Rfam family "Bacterial small subunit ribosomal RNA", at positions 29 to 506 of the family's 1533-position model. The record is from RNAcentral.
ACUAACGCUGGCGGCAUGCCUCAUACAUGCAAGUCGAACGGUAACAGGCGUAGCAAUACGUGCUGACAAGUGGCGCACGGGUGAGUAACGCGUAGAAAUCUACCUUAGAGUGGGGGAUAACCUGGGGAAACUCGGGCUAAUACCGCAUGAUAUUGAAAAAUUAAAGGAGCAAUUCGCUCUAAGAUGAGUCUGCGUAUGAUUAGCUAGUUGGUAGGGUAAUGGCCUACCAAGGCGACGAUCAUUAGCUGGUCUAAGAGGAUGAUCAGCCACAAUGGAACUGGUACACGGUCCAUACUUCUACGGAAGGCAGCAGUAGGGAAUUUUGCGCAAUGGGCGAAAGCCUGACGCAGCAAUGCCGCGUGUAGGAAGAAGCAUCUUGGUGUGUAAACUACUGUCGGUGGGGAAAAAGAAAGUGAUUGUACCCGCAAAGGAAGCAUCGGCUAACUACGU